UGUCUCGCUGUGAUGAUCCUAUCCCGAACCUGAAUUCCUUGCUGAAAAACUUAAUACGGAUCCGGAAUCUGAGAC
Molecule: small nucleolar RNA, 75 nt
Organism: Balearica pavonina (black crowned-crane)
Lineage: Eukaryota; Metazoa; Chordata; Aves; Gruiformes; Gruidae
Rfam family: Small nucleolar RNA SNORD50
About the family: U50 belongs to the C/D class of snoRNA which contain the C (UGAUGA) and D (CUGA) box motifs. Most of the members of the box C/D family function in directing site-specific 2'-O-methylation of substrate RNAs. U50 is an intronic snoRNA gene located on chromosome 6q15, at the breakpoint of chromosomal translocation t(3;6)(q27;q15).
Source: Rfam